CCCUGCGCUAUUUUCCAUUUCUGCUUUCUCUCUCCAGCCUCUUUUUCUUCUCUGUUUUUAGGUCAUCUUCUCCGACGAAGCAAUCCUACGAGACACAUAUUCUUCUUUCUCUUUUCUCCUUUUCCCUUCGCGUUUUUUCCUUUUCCUCUUCGCCUUUUCUAUUUUUCCUUUUCCAUUUUGUCUGUACCUUUUCUCCUUUGCUCUUUUGUGUUCUUUUUGUAGUUAAUUAUUUUUUGGAUUGUUGUGACGUAAUAAAUUUAUUUUGAUGCACUGUGUGCCAUUUUUUCAAAACCAAGUUUAUUGGUAUUUUGAAUAUUUUUCGAGUUCAUAAAACCCCGUGAAUAUUUUCAUUCCCCUUUUCUUAUUCUUCAUGUUUAUUAUUUUUUUUCUUGUUGGUGGUUUUAUCUAUAAUCUUUGGGAGUUUCAUUUGAUUUAUUCCUUUUUGGUGUUGAUUGAUUCUCAAGAUUGUUUCCUUUUUAUCUUGUAGUGCUUGAUAACUUAAGUAAUGUACUUUACUCACUGUAUUAGGUUCAGAAAAGGUAGUGAAAUUGUUUGUAUUUGACUGAUAGUCCCUUCCCUUUUGUGUGCUGAAAUUCCUAAUAGUUAAUGAAUUGGAAGAAAUGUAGAAGACCUAAAUCCAUUCUUAGUUAUUAAUGUGAUUCUUACUGGUGUUGGUUUGUUCUCAAGAUUGAUUCACCAAAUCUUAUUUAUUUUAUUUUAUGUCAACUUUUGCUUCACCAAAUCAGCUCACAACCUGCUCAUCUGCUCAUAAUAUUAGUAAUAUUAGUAGUUCACUUGAUUAUUUAUGCCCAUGACAGGUGAUGCAGUACCAAUUCAUUUCUACAUGCAUGUGUUUCAAUGAUUGCAUAUUUGUUGAAUGCCUCAUUUUCAAUUUACACACCUGUACAUUAUUGCAGUAUUGAUAAUUUUUUUCUUAAUUUUAAAUAAAAGGUAAGGAAAUGUUGAAAUUCUUUUCAAAGUCUAUAAUGAUUCUCUGCCUCUGUUGUUUCUCUGCUUCACACGAACUUAGUAGUUGAUGCCUGAAGAUUUUUCAAUGUUCGUAUUGCUGCUUGGAAUUAAUCUUCUUUGGAAUAGUGUAGUUGACUUGAACAAAGAAGGAAAAGCCAAAUAUCGAAGUUCAUAAUGUUCUCUCUGAUAUGGACGUUUUAAGCCAACAGAAAAACAAUAACUUGACUUUUCCAAUUGCUUGCUUUCUGGUUUACAGGGAAGUUUAUUCUUUUCUAUUUGUUCCGGAGUUUGGUUUGUUAGAUGGUGGCUACUGUUACAUGUAAUUGGAACUUAAAAGUCGGCUUGAAUAAGAAAAGUGGAAAAGAAGGCAAAGAUAGAUGAAAAGGUGGCUGAAGUGUAACAGACUAAGGGUAUUCACUCGAGGACAAAGAGGGCAAAGAUACUAGAAGACUUGUAUGCUCGUUUGCACCAACGUCAUUCUCAAGCCAAGCCAAAGAGUAGAAGAGACUUUUUUAUUUUAUGGAAAUUAUUGGAAGUUUUACGAUAAAUUCAUGGAAUAUAAAUGAAUACAAAUCUUAUUUUAUAAAGUUGAUUAUACGAGAUUGAGUCAGGUUUUAAAAUCUAUUUCUUAAAAGAAGUAUCUUGUUUAAUUUCUACGAUGUUUUAACUCAUCAAAAUCAUGAAUUAUGUAGGGCAAUAAUACCUCUGACGACGAAAUAUGGAUAGACAACGUUUCCUUACAACCAUUCACAGAUAAAGAAUGGAGUUCUCAUCAAGAUCAUGUUCCUUAUCAAUGCUACAAUGACUCUUUUUAUAAGCAUUCCACCGUUUUCCUUACUAUCCCCUGCCCAAAGCAGGUGAAAGAUUCCCAGUAGCAAAUCCAAAUUUGGCUCCAAGAUGGCGUUGCAGAUAAGGCAAAGAUGAAGUAGCACGACGAGAGUUAUGGGAAUAACUAUGGGGGACUUAUCAUGUUUUUAAAGUAAUUUUAUGUCUUUGAAUAAUGAAUUUGAUAUUUGUAAGGUUUUAACUUGUAAGACGCUUAAACUUUUGAUGGUUUAGUUUCGCGAUGUUAAUUUAAAAAAAAAUUGGCGUAAAAUUUUGGAUUUUGUUAUUUUCUAGUGGCACUCCGUAAGGGGUGUUACAAGUGCAUAGUAUGAAAGUGCAAUGUCAAUGUUUUAAACAAAAGGAAACAAACAGUGUGAGGGUUACAGGAAUACACAUUUCUCCCUUCGGGCCCUAGUAAAGGUUCACUGCUUCGGAUUCAAGGUCAACUAUAUGCAAUCUCACCAUCUCCUGCAAAAUAACCAGAAAAAAUCUCAGACUGAUAUAAACAUGUUUUCUAGCCUAGGGUUCAAUAUCCGACAAAUAUAAAACACAAACGAGAAUAAUACAAAUAUGAAAAAGAAAGGGGACAAAAACAUAAAGCACAACCACAUCAAAUUCGCGCAUUUAAUUAAAUGGCCUGACUCUCUAUUUCCCCAGUGGAGUCGCCAUCUGUCGCAAUCGGAAUCGCGACGGGACGACGACCCAAAAGAGAAACGGGUUUAGAAAAAGAGAUUUGGAGUCAUCACCAUAGUUUAUUCUGGAAAACUACGAGAAAACCGUAAAGAAAGGCACGGUCCACGAAAACCAGAUUCUGGGUUCGGGAGUCGGUUACGCAUAGGGAAGGUAUUAGCACCCUACAGCGCAUGCCCGAAGGCAGUCCCUUUAACUAAAUAGGCGAAUGUGAUGUGGUUUUCAAAAUGUUUAACUAUCCCCUAAAAUAAAACUCCAAAGAACAAAAUAUAUUUUUUAGUUUUUUGGGCAUGACAAGGAUUGACCUUACUCUUACGUAUUCUCGUUCAGAGUGAGAAAUCAGGGUUACGUAGUUCUUUUGAAACUGUUUGAGAAGUUUGUUUGAAAAUUUGUUUUGAAAUUAUUUUAGAUUUUGGGAAGUGAACCUGACAAGGACUAGUCUUGCUCCUACGUAUCUCCACUCUUGAUGGAGAAUCAAGGAUCACGUAAUUCUGACUAUUUUUCUUGAUUUGAAAGCGAUUGAUAUUUUUUAUUUUGGGAUUUUAUGGUUUUUUUUAGUAUUUUUGGAUUAUCUUGAAGAAAAAGUUAUCAUAAUGUAAUCAACAAGUUGGAUAUAAAACAAAAUAGAUAAUAAAAUUAUUUUUACAGUUUUUCUAAAAAAAGUUUUGUAAUUUUUAUGAUGUUUUUUUACAUAGUUGACAUGAUUGAGAAAGAUUAAGAUGAAAAAAUAAUUACACAAAUAUUUAAAUUUACUUGCAAGAAAACUACAUUUUUUUAAUUUUUUAUAUUUAAUUAUCAAGCAAAUCCAAGACUUGACAUGAUAAUCAAAAUGAUUAUGAAAAAUGUAAUUAUCAAGCAAGUACGAGACUUGAUGAAAUUAUUAUUAUGAAAAACGUAAUUAUCAAGCAAGUUUGAGACUUGACAUGACAAUAAUUAUUAUUAUGAAAAAUUGAAUUAUCAAGGAAAUCUGAAACUUGACAUGAUAAUUGAUAUUUUUGUGUUUUUUUUAGAGAUAAAAAACCAAAUUGGUUAUAAAUGAAAAUUUAGAAUAAAAAACAAUAAAAAUAAUUAUGGAACAAUAAAACCAAAUUUAAUAAGAUAAUUCAAAACAAAAAGAAGAGGUGAAGGGAUAAGAACCUGGAUGAGAAGACAAUGAUAGUCCGAUCAAGAUGCGAGUGAAAAUAGAGGUUUCAAGAGAUGUAGAUGUUGAUAUGGAGGAGAAGAGGUGUGUUGAAGUGUUUCAUGUGUGGUGUGUGUAAAAGAAUGAUAAUUGGGGAGAUAAGGAAUGUGUGGAAAGAUAUGUAGUGUGGGAGAGAAGAAUGAAGUAGAGUUUUUGGAUGGAAAUGAAGAGGUUUGGUGUUAGAAAGAAAAGAUGGAUAUUGUGUAAUUGUGUGAGUGAAAAAGGAGUGAAGAAUGUGGGUAUUUAUAGAGUUAAGGAUGGAGAGAGUAUUAAAUACAAUAUAAUUUUUUAAAAAAUGAGAGGAAAAAUAAAAAAAUUAAAGUGAAAAAUAAGUAAAAGAAAUAAUAUAAAAAGUUGGUGGAGAGAUUAGGUGAAAUAAAAAAGAGUAAAUAAUAAAAAGUUAACGUGGAAAAUAAGUGAAAGAAAUAAUGUAAAAAGUUGGUGGAGAAAGUAGAUGAAAUAAAAUAUAGAAAAUAGUAAAAAAUAAGUGAAAGAAAUAAUAUAAAAAGUGGAUGGAAAAAGUAGGUGAAAUAAAAUAUAGGAAAUAGUAAAAGUUAAUGUGGAAAAUAAGUGAAAGAAAUAAUAUAAAAAGUGGAUAGAGAAAGUAGGUGAAAUCAUAAAAAAUGUUGAUGAAGAAGAUAUAAUUAAAAAAUGUAAGUGGAAUAAUUAGAAAAGAUGAUAUAUAAAAAUUAAUAAGGAAAUGAGGUGGAAAAAGUAAAUGAAAAAGGUAGAUGAUGUGGAAUGUGAUACGGAGGGUGAGGUGGAUGGUGAUGUGGAGAGUGGGGUGUGAUAAGAGAAAAUGGGUGGUGAGGAGGUAAAAAAGUGAGAUUAUUUUGGACCAUUGAAUUAAGGAAUAAAAAUUUAAUUUGGGGGUGCAAAUAAUAUUUUUUUUAUUCUUUUGUUCUUUUUUUUUAUUUAUUUUUGUGAUGAAUUUAUUUACCCGGACGAAAUUGGGUAUUGACACACGUUGAUGAGGUAUUUACACUAAUUCAUCUUCGAAAGGGCAUUGACGCAUAUGUUGGUGAGAGGUCUUCCAAGACUAUUAUAAGUCAACUUUUCAACAAUAUUCAAUCUUCUAUUAUUUAUUUCUUUCAUACUUUGAACUUCAUGUUACUAACACUUUGUAUAUUAUAUAACAAGAAGAUUUCUCCCUUAGACUCUCAUAGGCCAAAUCUGAGAUAGAAUUUACUCCUAAUGAUGGAUCAAGAGUAGAUACUAGUGACGAUGACAUCAUCAAGACCCAGUGUUGGGUUGAUGUCAUCGGUGUUAAGAAGAAAGGACGAUUAUAUGGAGCAAGACAACUUACUAUCAAUUAUAGUGCUGGAAGAGGCAUAUUGAGACACCAACCAUCUGCAUCUAACACUUUUGAUGAGAGCAAUAUCGACAUAAACUAGAAGCUCGUGACCAGGCUUAUGAUGCACUUCUACAAAGAUGUGAGAAUCUUGAAAAUCUGGUCAUGACAUUAUUACCUCAGCAAAGACAGAAUCAGUCCACCCCAUCAUUUUUCCAGCAAGAAUGCCCACCAAUGCAGCCCACCCCAAUGUCGUCAUUUGUUUAACAACAACUGCCUCCCCAACAAUUGCCUCUACAAGAAGAAGAUUUUGAUGAUUAUGAUGACUACUAGGAGUUGAUGAACUUUUUAAAACAUUUAUGUGUUGCUUUUUUAUUUUAAAACUUAGUUGUUUUAUCUGUUGCUUGAACAAUCAUAUAAUAACUAUUUGUUUCAAUAUUGAGCAAAUUGUCUGAAUUGAUAA
Molecule: RNA transcript, 5418 nt
Organism: Vigna angularis (adzuki bean)
Lineage: Eukaryota; Viridiplantae; Streptophyta; Magnoliopsida; Fabales; Fabaceae
Gene name: G2/mitotic-specific cyclin S13-7
Exons: 3
Source: RefSeq, a predicted model, not a curated record